CCCGACUGAACGCGCCUCCCCAGUUCGUGAUGCGCUUCUUCUCCUCCUCUCUCCCCCAGCGCCCGCCUCUAGGAGUGGCCGCCGUUUCCCCGCGCGCACGACGCACCCACUGCCGUGUUCCACUCCCCUAACCCUCCUCAUCGUCGAGAUAGGCCUCCUAGAGGGCUAACGAUCCCAAUUGCUCCGAGCUGACCCGUAUCAACCCGCGCCGUACCUUCGAGGCCGCCACCUGCUCGUACCACCGAGCCAUGGAGGACAAGCUUGUCUCUCUUUCUCGCUCGUGUCCUACCUCCUUCCUCUCUUGUUCUCCUUCCUAUCCCUCUCCUCCUUCCUUCCCGCCGAGACCCAUCGACUAAGGCCGCCCCCAGCGGCCGUAGCUCCACCGCUCCGCUCCGGCCCACGCGACCGAAGAGGUAGUGAAGACCAAGGGGUGGCACCGACGUCCGGAGGAGAGGGAGAGGUAGAACGCGAGGAGGACGAGGUGAAGUACAGGCCGGCACCGACCGGUGUAGAUUUGUCUAAUGAUUAUGUCACUGUUUAAGUCCCCUAUGUUACAGUCUAAUGUAAGGCGCCUACAGAACGUCUAUUUUUAGGAACACCACCUCCAUAAUACACGAUGGUGAAAUAGUAAUGUAUUGGUUAAAGGUAAGAAGUAUUUAUCGUUGUUCGUCAAAAGGAGAGGUUCGUAUAAGUUUUCGCUUUUUUUUUUACAUAACAAAUAGGUUUGACAUACUACUCUAUCAAGUAUCACAACCUGAUUUUAACCUCUUGUGUUCAAAUAGUCUCUGUUAUUCCUAAACAGUAGUUCCUAGAUUCUCGAGACCAUUAUACAGGAAGAGGAGAAAACUAAGAGGAAAGUCCUGUAUUCUAACGUCUGAGAACAAAUAUUCAUAUUCCCACUUUCAUUGAAAUUUAUGACAUCGUGUGCAGAGCAAGCUAAACUAAGUUUCACGUUAUUACAUGUCUUGUAAUUGCUAAUGAGAGAGGAAGGCCUUUAUUCACUGCUACAAAAUUAAGUUUUAACUUGACAACAUUUUAUGUAUACAAGUUGAGGAAGGGGCCGCGGUGCGAAACCUCCGAACGAGACGAGUCGUAAGGGGCUGGUUUGAGAGGAAGGUACAGGAAUACGGCCUCUGUGUGGUCGAUGAACUAUCGUCCACGUUUUAUCUCGUCGCGAGGGUGUUAAAAAACAGGCUCCGUACAAAAAAACCCCCUCCUAGAACUGAAGCAGCGUCUAAUGAGAUUACGUCAGUACAUCCAGGCGUAGCGCCACUGUAGAACAACGCGGUAGAACUACCGUGAUGAAGCGUCCGUCUUUGGAGAGCGGCCUAGCGCAGGAUAGUAUAGACAUGUGAGGAUUGAAACCUAUUUUCUUCAGAUUAACUCCAAUUCUUUCCUCACUUUAUUCGUAGACCCGGAGUAUUAAAAACACGUUUGCUCUCUGGAUGUCUCUGUGGUAGUACCCACAACACAUAAAUGUUUGUAUUCUCACGUUUCCUUCGAAUGAGACACAACCACGGGACAAGAAAAUAUACAAAGAGUUCGUCGAGUAGAACUGACCAAUAGCCGUGCUGUUAUCAGCAUGGGGACCGGUGCUGGGGUCUCUCCUUAGAGAAAGAGGGUCUGACGGUCCCACGUAAAAUUGCAACUCAUAGAAAUAAAACCAGUACCAGACUCACAUUUGAUUGACUACGUGGGAAUUUCUUUAGACCAAUGAGAAAGUGAAGACCUAAAUAAUCGUUUGACAAGUACUUUUAGACUUGACACAUUAACACAUAUACAUUUAUAUGUGAAGAAUGAACUGUUUUAUUUGGCAUACUCCAGGUUUUAUUUAAAAACUACCGGAAGAAGGUAAAUAAUGGAACGUAAAACUACUACUCUUACAGACCAGUAUCAUUACGUACCUCGUUUCCUUUAAUGGAAGAGUACAAAUACACAUAAAGGGGUACUAUUCUUGUACAAGUACAUACUCAAACAAAGAACUAAGUCACAAAGUUAAAGUUAGUACUCAAAAGAAGAACUAAGUCGCAAAGUUUUCGAUUCGAGCCACUCAUAAGUCUUUUCUAACUUCUUGAUCGACGGUGCGAGUGACGAGUUCGUUAUACAAAAAUUGUACAGUUAAGUAUAACUAUACAACUUAAGCAUGUGGACGUCAAACUUGACUAAAGGGCCUGGUCAUGUACAGUGGUAAUGAAUGUCAGAUCGAAGAUCUAUGUGUAAGUAAUGUUAGGAAACCUAUGUCGAUCUUUUACUUGUAGGUGAACUACUCUAGUUUCUUCUUUAUAGGACAGUAAUCGGGCUAAGAAAAUAUAUACGCUUAGACAAAUCCCUCUUCACCACGAUCGAAAUAACGGUCCUUUUUAACUCGAAUCACGGAGAUGUUCACCGUGUUGUAUGUGCAAAUAUAAUAUUUCCCGUAUAACAAAGAAGUCAGGAUAAAGUUAUAUAUUCCAUACGUAAACUUAAAUUAUUAUGAGAAAAAAACAGUAAAUAGACAACAGAAAAGUAUGAUUUAUAAAGAGUGUGUAUGGGUUCUAUGAUUAUCUUACUUCGGUGUAAUUAAAUCCUUAGUGUUGUUAUGAGUACAAAUUUGAUUUACGAUGGAAAAAAUUCAAACUUGAAAUUUACGAUCGAUAAAGCUAGAAAAAGGCACCGUUAUGGUUUAUAAAAGAAGGCCAUUUUUUGGGUCUGUACAAGGAUAUACUGAGAGGGGAAAGAUACACUUUAUGAUUAAGAAUAUAAUAAUAAACGUCCGAGCCUUAGUAAUUGCACAGUUACAGUGGAGCUUAUCACUAACAAGACACAUGCCUUCCAGGAAGCACAUCGAAAGUAAGCCGUGAUCCAGAGACAACUAUGACUUAAACAUUCAUUGAACGUUCAUUGUCUGCAAAACUGUUACUAGUGAUGAUGGUUACUCCUGGUGACCGUUCUAUAUCGUGUUGUUGGACCAGGGACAAGGCAUUUCUAUCUACUUCCAAGUCUACGUCUCACUUUCGGACGUGGUUGUUCAACAUAUACCUUGGACCGCUGAACUACUAGUUACUUGUUAGUAAACUUAACACGAGGUACUAUAAGUUCGAUGAUAACAUUCUUUAACUUUCUUCAAGUACAAAACGGC
This 3118-nucleotide ribosomal RNA is filed under the name Triticum aestivum (bread wheat). RNAcentral describes it as "partial small subunit ribosomal RNA". The record is from RNAcentral. Lineage: Eukaryota; Viridiplantae; Streptophyta; Magnoliopsida; Poales; Poaceae.